GGGGAUGUAGCUCAAUGGUAGAGUGCAUGUUUGAUUAACAUUUAUGAGACCCUGGGUUCAAUUUCCAGUACCA
Molecule: transfer RNA, 73 nt
Filed under: Ictidomys tridecemlineatus (thirteen-lined ground squirrel)
Lineage: Eukaryota; Metazoa; Chordata; Mammalia; Rodentia; Sciuridae
Description: Spermophilus tridecemlineatus (thirteen-lined ground squirrel) tRNA
Rfam family: tRNA
About the family: Transfer RNA (tRNA) molecules are approximately 80 nucleotides in length. Their secondary structure includes four short double-helical elements and three loops (D, anti-codon, and T loops).
Source: Rfam by way of RNAcentral